UCCUUAAUUAAGUCAGACCCACUAUUCACAAGCAGGUGCAAAGCCAUCAUUGGGUCUCUCACCUAACAGUUAUUGGGUCCAACCCCAUCUUUAUCUUGGAGCAACUCUUUUACUAAUCAGUGGUUGCGUGUUCUCAAUGCAACUAAACCAUUGUGAUCAGCUGUGAACAAUCAACGCCGAUAGCAUGCCCACACAUCUAAAACGAUGAAAGACUAUUGGAUUUAAUAUUUAUGGAG
This 236-nucleotide long non-coding RNA is filed under the name Elaeis guineensis (African oil palm). Its description in RNAcentral is "long non-coding RNA (EGUI_LNC052515)". The record is from RNAcentral. Lineage: Eukaryota; Viridiplantae; Streptophyta; Magnoliopsida; Arecales; Arecaceae.